CAAGAAAUAGUUUAAUCAGAAUUUCAGUUUUGGGUACUGAUGGUGGGGUAGUUUGCCUCUUUCUUGA
Molecule: transfer RNA, 67 nt
Filed under: Mesomys stimulax (Surinam spiny tree rat)
Lineage: Eukaryota; Metazoa; Chordata; Mammalia; Rodentia; Echimyidae
Description: tRNA-Pro
Source: RNAcentral